Molecule: ribosomal RNA, 253 nt
Filed under: uncultured bacterium
Lineage: Bacteria
Description: partial 16S ribosomal RNA
Rfam family: Bacterial small subunit ribosomal RNA
Source: RNAcentral
UACAGAGGUCUCAAGCGUUGUUCGGAUUCAUUGGGUGUAAAGGGUGCGUAGGUGGCGAUGUAAGUCUGGUGUGAAAUCUCGGAGCUCAACUUCGAAAUUGCAUUGGAUACUGCGUCGCUCGAGGAUUGUAGAGGAGAGUGGAAUUCACGGUGUAGCAGUGAAAUGCGUAGAUAUCGUGAGGAAGACCAGUUGCGAAGGCGACUCUCUGGGCAACUCCUGACACUGAGGCACGAAGGCCAGGGGAGCAAACGGG